This 280-nucleotide long non-coding RNA is filed under the name Brassica rapa (field mustard). RNAcentral describes it as "long non-coding RNA (BRAP_LNC005394)". The record is from RNAcentral. Lineage: Eukaryota; Viridiplantae; Streptophyta; Magnoliopsida; Brassicales; Brassicaceae.
CAAAAUUAGUCUGUAUUGGCAAUAUAGUUAAUGACUUGGACCUCGCUAUAUAUUUGGCCAGGACAUAGUAGACAUCACUAGCUAGCUAAUUAAUAAUAACUUUUUGGUUAAAGGACUUAAUUAUUAACUUAAUCCAUAUUUUUUUGUAUAUGGAUAUCUGGCUGUAAUGAAAUACUAUGUUUUGUCGGCAAAACAAAUUAUUUUAAUCGUAAACUUAUCAAAUAUAUAUGAUUUUUAGUGACUACGCAAUACGCAUACACUAACUCUUUUUUUUUUUGAG